UCGAACGGAAAGGCCCUGCUUGCAAGGUACUCGAGUGGCGAACGGGUGAGUAACACGUGGGUGAUCUGCCCUGCACUUCGGGAUAAGCUUGGGAAACUGGGUCUAAUACCGGAUAGGAACCAUCUUUANUGUGGUGGUUGGAAAGUUUUUUCGGUGUAGGAUGAGCUCGCGGCCUAUCAGCUUGUUGGUGGGGUAAUGGCCUACCAAGGCGGCGACGGGUAGCCGGCCUGAGAGGGUGUACGGCCACAUUGGGACUGAGAUACGGCCCAGACUCCUACGGGAGGCAGCAGUGGGGAAUAUUGCACAAUGGGCGCAAGCCUGAUGCAGCGACGCCGCGUGGGGGAUGAAGGCCUUCGGGUUGUAAACUCCUUUCGCUAGGGACGAAGCUUUUUGUGACGGUACCUAGAUAAGAAGCACCGGCUAACUACGUGCCAGCAGCCGCGGUAACACGUAGGGUGCGAGCGUUGUCCGGAAUUACUGGGCGUAAAGGGCUCGUAGGUGGUUUGUCGCGUCGUCUGUGAAAUUCUGGGGCUUAACUCCGGGCGUGCAGGCGAUACGGGCAUAACUUGAGUGCUGUAGGGGUAACUGGAAUUCCUGGUGUAGCGGUGAAAUGCGCAGAUAUCAGGAGGAACACCGAUGGCGAAGGCAGGUUACUGGGCAGUUACUGACGCUGAGGAGCGAA
This 682-nucleotide ribosomal RNA is filed under the name uncultured Actinomycetales bacterium. Its description in RNAcentral is "bacterial SSU rRNA". It matches the Rfam family "Bacterial small subunit ribosomal RNA", at positions 62 to 757 of the family's 1533-position model. The record is from RNAcentral. Lineage: Bacteria; Bacillati; Actinomycetota; Actinomycetes; Actinomycetales.